RNAcentral lists this ribosomal RNA (424 nucleotides) under uncultured bacterium. RNAcentral's name for it is "bacterial SSU rRNA". It matches the Rfam family "Bacterial small subunit ribosomal RNA", at positions 355 to 776 of the family's 1533-position model. The record is from RNAcentral.
UGAGGAAUAUUGGUCAAUGGACGCAAGUCUGAACCAGCCAUGCCGCGUGAAGGAUGAAGGCCUUCUGGGUUGUAAACUUCUUUUAUGAGGGAAGAAAACUAUGGUUUCUACUAUAGCCGACGGUACCUUAGGAAUAAGCACCGGCUAACUCCGUGCCAGCAGCCGCGGUAAUACGGAGGGUGCAAGCGUUAUCCGGAUUUACUGGGUUUAAAGGGUGUGUAGGCGGGCGCAUAAGUCAGCGGUGAAAUCUCCGGGCUCAACCCGGAAACUGCCAUUGAUACUAUGCGUCUUGAAUUCUGUUGAGGAGGGCGGAAUAUGUCAUGUAGCGGUGAAAUGCAUAGAUAUGACAUAGAACACCGAUAGCGAAGGCAGCUCUCAAAGCAGACAUUGACGCUGAGGCACGAAAGCGUGGGGAUCAAACAGG